GCGGAGGAAAAGAAACCAACAGGGAUUGCCCCAGUAGCGGCGAGUGAAGCGGCAAGAGCUCAGAUUUGAAAUCGUGUUUCGGCACGAGUUGUAGAGUGUAGGCGGGAGUCUCUGUGGAGCGCGGUGUCCAAGUCCCUUGGAACAGGGUGCCUGAGAGGGUGAGAGCCCCGUAGGGUGCUGCGCGAAGCUUUUGAGGCCCUGCUGACGAGUCGAGUUGUUUGGGAAUGCAGCUCCAAGCGGGUGGUAAAUUCCAUCUAAGGCUAAAUAUUGGCGAGAGACCGAUAGCGAACAAGUACUGUGAAGGAAAGAUGAAAAGCACUUUGAAAAGAGAGUGAAACAGCACGUGAAAUUGUUGAAAGGGAAGGGUAUUGGGCUCGACAUGGGGGGUGCGCACCGCUGUCUCUUGUAGGCGGCGCUCUGGGCGCCCUCUGGGCCAGCAUCGGUUCCUGCUGCGGGAGAAGGGGCUCCGGAAAGUGGCUCUUCGGAGUGUUAUAGCCGGGGCCAGAUGCCGCGUGUGGGGACCGAGGACUGCGGCUCUUCUCGGAUGC
Molecule: ribosomal RNA, 548 nt
Filed under: Pichia manshurica
Lineage: Eukaryota; Fungi; Ascomycota; Pichiomycetes; Pichiales; Pichiaceae
Description: eukaryotic LSU rRNA
Rfam family: Eukaryotic large subunit ribosomal RNA
Source: RNAcentral